This 389-nucleotide long non-coding RNA is filed under the name Equus asinus (donkey). RNAcentral's name for it is "lncRNA (ENSEASG00005029088.1)". Lineage: Eukaryota; Metazoa; Chordata; Mammalia; Perissodactyla; Equidae. The record is from RNAcentral.
CAGGAAGAGAGCUGUUUCUAACUUCAGCUUCUUUUGGAGUGAACUGGGAGCACAGUGCCCUCUUGUGGUAGAUCUGUCGCUUUGCAAAGAAUGGUAAAUUUCUCUAGAAGGAACCCAAGGCAAGAAUUUAAGACGGAUGUGAAUAUUGUCAAAAGCCACCUCGCACCACCUGCAGCCGUUCUUCCAUGCUGUGGCCCAAACUCUUGCUUUCUGGGAAGCAGAACUUGGAUUUGAAGGGUGGCAGAGAGACACGAGAGACCUGGAGAGAAGGGCCAGCCGGGGCGCAGGUGCAUUUGGUCAGCAGAAAGGCAGGACCGGAGAUCUGCACGGGACACGGGAGAGAGGCUGGUAAGGCCGAGGUGAGGGCACCAGGGCCAACCUGAGGGAGG